AACAAACGCUGGCGGCGUGCCUAACACAUGCAAGUCGUACGAGAAAGGGUCCUUCGGGACCUGAGUAAAGUGGCGCACGGGUGAGUAACGCGUGGAUAAUCUGCCCUUCAGUUGGGAAUAACUCAUCGAAAGGUGGGCUAAUACCGAAUGAUACUGCGAGACUUUGGUCGAGCAGUCAAAGAGAGCCUCUGCUUGCAAGCCCUCGCUGAAGGAUGAGUCCGCGUACCAUUAGCUAGUUGGUAGGGUAAUGGCCUACCAAGGCGACGAUGGUUAGCUGGUCUGAGAGGAUGAUCAGCCACACUGGAACUGAGACACGGUCCAGACUCCUACGGGAGGCAGCAGUGAGGAAUCUUGCGCAAUGGGGGCAACCCUGACGCAGCAACGCCGCGUGAGUGAGGAAGGUCUUCGGAUCGUAAAGCUCUGUCAGAUGGAAAGAACCGCAUGGGGAUUAAUAGUCCCCGUGUCUGACGGUACCAUCAGAGGAAGCACCGGCUAACUCC
RNAcentral lists this ribosomal RNA (500 nucleotides) under uncultured bacterium. RNAcentral's name for it is "bacterial SSU rRNA". It matches the Rfam family "Bacterial small subunit ribosomal RNA", at positions 29 to 504 of the family's 1533-position model. The record is from RNAcentral.